Long non-coding RNA from Populus euphratica (Euphrates poplar), 659 nucleotides. RefSeq lists it as uncharacterized. The transcript has 2 exons. Lineage: Eukaryota; Viridiplantae; Streptophyta; Magnoliopsida; Malpighiales; Salicaceae. The record is from RefSeq and is a predicted model, not a curated record.
UGAGGACUUAAUUUCAAGAAUAGUUCCCUUUGAAUGCUGCUAAAAAUCAUGGUGGCUAUAAAUAAGAGCGGUGGAUAGGAGGAGAGCAUAACCAUGUUAGUCACAUAUAUUUCCAAGAUGAAGGCCUUUCUUAUCGUAUGCAUUCUCUUAGCCACCAUUGUCUUCACUCCCCUAUCCACUUGCAGUGCUCGAGAAUUGGCCGAGCAAGACGCGAGUGGAUCAAACAACCCCUAUAAACCAGUGUUCGGUUGCGGAAGGGGUAAGCGAUAUUGCGUACCUAACCCACCACCAUGCAUAACUCCUUACAAGCGUAAUUGUUAGAAGCAAGCAAAGUUGAGUGCUUAAAAGUAUGGAGCUUCUGCUGUCUUUGUCAAUAUGUAAAAUGAUGAGAACUAUUUAUGUGAGAAAAAUAAAUAAAGUUCUCUAGUGGAUUAGAAGAAGCAAGCAAAGUGGUGUGCUUAAAAAGUAUGGACGGCUCAUAUUGUCUUUAUCAAUAUGUAUAAUGUUAUUUUGAUAUGGGAAAUAUUUAUGUGAGAAAAAUAAAUUCAGUUCUUAGUGAGUUUCAUGGUAUCUUUUGAGGUUUUAAUUUCGGUCAUUAUACAGUCCUCCUAUUUGUAAUCUCCCAUGAGAAUUAUUAAUGAAGUUCAAUUAUGCCAAAA